GUAUAAACCUGUAUCUAACCAAAGCGUGUUAGAGAUCGUUUGACAAUGAAACGGUUUGGACUUGCAUUUUUUGUCACGGCGAUGCUUUUGAGCGAACAUGCCGAGGCGGCGUCUGUCACCUGCUACGUGUGUUCCGGAAGUUCGGCGUGUAAUCUGAAUCUGUCUCUCAAUACAGAGUCUGGAUGCACUGUCUGUAAAAAGACGGAGAUAAAUGGCGCGGUUACCCGAUCUUGCGAUACACCACUCCUCACCAUUUACAGACAGACAGACAGACAGACAGGUGGAGUGACGGAGUGCUACUGUAACACCGACUAUUGCAACAGCGGCAGUCGUAUGACAUUUUCUGUGUCAACACUCGUGCUGUCGUUGGUAGCCGCUUAUUUUGUUCUUGAUCGGAAGUAACAGCGAGUCGUGGGGAAGAUGAGCUUUAUUAAUAAAUAUAUGUUUUGGUUUGAAUGACAUUUAUUUCAAAUGAGUGAAUGUGUUUUUUUCACAUAUUAAAUAGACACUGUGUGUUAUUGCUCAUCAUUUUAAAGCCCAAUAUAAUAUGGAUGAUUUGAUGAUUUGAGUUAAUACGAAACCUCGCCUGAAUAAAGUUCGUUUCAUAAGUUAUGUAACUUUUUGUUUAUAUAUGAUGCAUUAUUUUUUUUGAAGGUGACCUCAAUAUGGUAGUACUUAUAAAUGUUAACAAAUAAAUAUUAAAGAAAAUAUAAUACAAUUUUAAAAUAUUUUUUUUUACAAUGAACGCCAGUUUGUACAGACAUAUAACUAAAAUGAAUAGUGCUUCCAAGUGCCAUUGUAGUAAAAAAACUAAUAUUAAGCAGAAAAGAGGUUACGUAUAACUAUACGAAAUAGGCGUAUAGAAACUCCACUUUGACCAUAUAACCAAGUAAUAGUGACGUAUGUAUUAUUAAUGACAAAAUUAGUAGCCGUGAGAUUAGAACAAUAAAGAAAUAUAAAAAACCA
This is a long non-coding RNA of Dreissena polymorpha, 966 nucleotides long. RefSeq lists it as uncharacterized. Lineage: Eukaryota; Metazoa; Mollusca; Bivalvia; Myida; Dreissenidae. The record is from RefSeq and is a predicted model, not a curated record. The transcript is spliced from 3 exons.